Long non-coding RNA from Struthio camelus australis, 1621 nucleotides. The record is from Ensembl. Lineage: Eukaryota; Metazoa; Chordata; Aves; Struthioniformes; Struthionidae.
AGCAGAUCUCAUGGCGCUGCAGUCUCAGCAGCACUGGCUCCCUCCAGCCCUGAGUGCCAACAGGCAAACUUUGCUGAUUUGGAAACUGCCAGCCCAGUACUGAGUCUAUGAUGGACUGGCUUCAUUCAAUAUCUAGAGUUUUCCUCUCCCUAUCUAACACUUUCCUCAUUUUUCUCCUUAUUAGGACAUCUCCUGGAUAAUUACUACAUUUGUUUUCCCUAGUGAUUGCUAGGUAUUUCCUAACAUCACUUUAAUGCUCCUGUUUGUUGAAAGUGUCUUGUCCCCUGGAUAUCCUGGGUCCUUGCUGGUAAAGAGGAAGGCCAGGCUGGCAAGUAUACAGACCCCUAAAGAGAGGGGCACAGAGAAUGAAUUCUGUUCUCAGCCCUCCUUCAGACUUACUGGGAACCUGCUCAAACCUAGUAACCGCAGUGCGCUUUGGAUCCGGCUUUGUAUAUGCAUAUGUACUGAUGGUGCCUUGUGUCAGAGAUGCAAGUGUUACCCUGCUAACAUCACUGCUGAGAUGACAGAGACUGGAGCCAUAAACUUAAGAUCCAAAUCAGCUUUCCCAAAGUCUUGCUCUGCCCAGCAGAGCAAGUAGCCUGGCAAAGUACAGUAGCCUGGAUAGUCAACAGCAAAGAAGAAUUUGUGCCCUUCUCUCGUGAACGGCGAGUAGGGGCUUUGGACGCAGUGGCCGGGACGUAGAGGAGCCAUACUGGGGCCCAAACUAGCUCAGACAAAAUAUCCACCUAGCCCAGUAUGUGCACUAGUCACCAGCAGUAGUUGGUAUGGAAAACGUUUCUGAAGUAGGAUAAAUGUGGAACGACCCUUCUCCAGGUGUAUCUUCUCAGAGCUGCAGGCCCUCCUGUUUGGUAAGGUGUGGAGGCCCUUCAGUCCCUGCACUGCCCAGCGCUGCGAUGAAGCCACCACUGCCCAGCGCUGCAAUGAAGCCACCCUGCGAUGAGGCCACCAAUGCCCAGCGCGGCAAUGAGGCCACCCUGCGAUGAAGCCACCACUGCCCGGUGCUGCAGUGAAGCCACUGCUGCCUGGCACUGCGAUGAAGCCAUCCUGCAAUGAAGCCACCACUGCCCAGUGCUGCAGUGAAGCCAUCACUGCCUGGUGCUGCAAUGAAGCCACCCUAUGAUGAGGGCACCAAUGCCGAGUGCUGCGAUGAAGCCACUGCAGCCUGGCACUGAGAUGAAGCCACCCUGUGAUGAGGCCACCACUGCCCAGCGCUGCGAUGAGGCCACCACCACCUGACACUGUGAUGAAGCCACCCUGCGAUGACGCCACCACUGCCCGGCGCUGCGAUGAAGUCGCUUCCUGGGCCAGCGGCUGCCAGAAACACGUCUAGCAGGCACUGGUGAGACUUGCUGCCAGGAGAGGUCCAGCACUCGCAAACCUAGGUGUGUUUUCGUCCUCACAACCUCUGGUGGCAGUAAGGUUCACCAUUUAACUGUACCCUCUGUGGCAGGAAAAAAAAAUCUUUCCGUUUAUUGUAAAUCUGUUACCUGGGGUGACUGCAUCUGCUGAAGUUACCUGACUGCUGCGUGCUUCGUUUGCUGCUCCCCCAGCUCUUGCGUUACAAGCAGCGGGGGAAGCCCCGCUCGCCGCCUUGACACCG